This 715-nucleotide long non-coding RNA is filed under the name Salmo trutta (river trout). RNAcentral describes it as "lncRNA (ENSSTUG00000019938.1)". The record is from RNAcentral. Lineage: Eukaryota; Metazoa; Chordata; Actinopteri; Salmoniformes; Salmonidae.
CUUACUUUUCCAGAGAUUUUCAUUCUCAAGGGUAAGUUGUUGGCUUGGCUUUAAAACGCUGUCAAAGUCUGGCUUCAUUGUGAUUGAAUUACAUGGAGAGAUUGAUUUGUUCUUAGAACCCUGUUGAUGUUGGACUCUUAACUGACUUCACUUUCGUCAUUGUAGCCUAACAUCUUUCAUAGUUGUGUUCACUGUUCCAUGGGAGAAUAUCACAGGUCACAUCUACCAACAAGCAGGCAACUCUCAGAUGCAAUAACUAUGGGAAAAUGUAAAAUAUAUGUUUUAAUUGCACUUACUUGACUUAAAGUCAAGACAUUUGUACUAAUCAUUUGACUGUAACAAACACCAGGUCAAAUGAAUGAAUAUCUAAACAUGUAUGACAUGCAUUGAUUUUUCUUACUUCUACAGACGUUAUCAAUGUCACUGUCAAACAAACCACUUAGAAGAAAUACAAUGGCACAUUCAAUGACUGAAAAGGCAGAUGUCAAAGAGGAUGAAGAGACGAACCCGUUACACCAAACCAUCAGAACCACUUGACGAGGUCGCUAGUUGGGUUAAAGGAAUAGUCCACUCAAACUAUCUUUUGUAAUUAAAACGUUUUUUAAUCCACUGUUGCUGAAUGUUUUGCAUGUCAGCAAUCACGUUUUUCAAUACAUAGGACUUUCAAGAUGAUGAUGUCUUCAUGAUCAUAUGCUGCACUUUGCUUCUUGAAAGU